UUGGUCCCUAAUUUUCUCGAGAUGUCCAUAACAAGUUAAAUCAGCCCUCUUCCCACCGUUGAGAUUCAAACUCACGUACGAUAUUGAAGAACUUUUUCUCUAGGCGAUCCCCAAUUCAGCUACUUGAGGGGUUAUAAUUACUUUGACGUUUCUUGUUUGAUUAACCCAUAAUUUGUUGUUAAAGCUUGUUGGAUUUAAAUUAUUUUGGCCAUACCCUAAAAUAUGGUUGGUCCUUGGUCCCCCUCAUAAAAGGUUACAAGAAUUUAAAGAGAAGUAGAGGAUGGAUUGAUGGUUGAGAGAAUCUAACAAUAACAACAACAAAUAGUAUUCUUAUUUAAUGGUUUUCCUUCUUUGCCUUAUCAAACCCCAUCUUCAAACUUCUCCUUUUAUUUUCCACCAAUAUC
This is a long non-coding RNA of Arabidopsis thaliana (thale cress), 404 nucleotides long. RefSeq annotates it as other RNA. The transcript has a single exon. NCBI's taxonomy places the organism in Eukaryota, Viridiplantae, Streptophyta, Magnoliopsida, Brassicales, Brassicaceae. The record is from RefSeq.